UACGUAGGUGGCAAGCGUUGUCCGGAUUUACUGGGCGUAAAGAGCGCGUAGGCGGCCGUGCAAGCCCGGUGUGAAAGCCCCCGGCUCAACUGGGGAGGGUCACGCGAUACUGCUCGACUCGAAGGCAGGAGAGGGAAGUGGAAUUCCCGGUGUAGUGGUGAAAUGCGUAGAUAUCGGGAGGAACACCAGUGGCGAAGGCGACUUCCUGGCCUGUUCUUGACGCUGAGGCGCGAAAGCUAGGGGAGCAAACGGG
Molecule: ribosomal RNA, 253 nt
Filed under: uncultured bacterium
Lineage: Bacteria
Description: partial 16S ribosomal RNA
Rfam family: Bacterial small subunit ribosomal RNA
Source: RNAcentral